RNAcentral lists this ribosomal RNA (254 nucleotides) under uncultured bacterium. Its description in RNAcentral is "partial 16S ribosomal RNA". It matches the Rfam family "Bacterial small subunit ribosomal RNA", at positions 524 to 776 of the family's 1533-position model. The record is from RNAcentral.
UACGUAGGGGGGCAAGCGUUGUCCGGAUUUAUUGGGCGUAAAGAGCGUGUAGGCGGCUAGGUAGGUCCGUUGUGAAAACUCGAGGCUCAACCUCGAGACGUCGAUGGAAACCAUCUGGCUAGAGUCCGGAAGAGGAGAGUGGAAUUCCUGGUGUAGCGGUGAAAUGCGCAGAUAUCAGGAAGAACACCCGUGGCGAAGGCGGCUCUCUGGGACGGUACUGACGCUGAGACGCGAAAGCGUGGGGAGCGAACAGG